GGGGGGCUAUCUGCAGUCGAGCGAUGAUGAGGAGCUUGCUCCUCUGAUUUAGCGGCGGACGGGUGAGUAACACGUGGGUAAUCUGCCUGUAAGACGGGGAUAACUCCGGGAAACCGGGGCUAAUACCGGAUAAUAAAAAGAAACGCAUGUCUCCUUUUUGAAAGUCGGUUUCGGCUGACACUUACAGAUGAGCCCGCGGCGCAUUAGCUAGUUGGUGAGGUAACGGCUCACCAAGGCGACGAUGCGUAGCCGACCUGAGAGGGUGAUCGGCCACACUGGGACUGAGACACGGCCCAGACUCCUACGGGAGGCAGCAGUAGGGAAUCUUCGGCAAUGGGCGAAAGCCUGACCGAGCAACGCCGCGUGAGCGAUGAAGGCCUUCGGGUCGUAAAGCUCUGUUGUUAGAGAAGAACAAGUACGAGAGUAACUGCUCGUACCUUGACGGUACCUAACCAGAAAGCCACGGCUAACUACGUGCCAGCAGCCGCGGUAAUACGUAGGUGGCAAGCGUUAUCCGGAAUUAUUGGGCGUAAAGCGCGCGCAGGCGGUCUCUUAAGUCUGAUGUGAAAGCCCACGGCUCAACCGUGGAGGGUCAUUGGAAACUGGGAGACUUGAGUGCAGGAGAGAAAAGUGGAAUUCCACGUGUAGCGGUGAAAUGCGUAGAGAUGUGGAGGAACACCAGUGGCGAAGGCGGCUUUUUGGCCUGUAACUGACGCUGAGGCGCGAAAGCGUGGGGAGCAAACAGGAUUAGAUACCCUGGUAGUCCACGCCGUAAACGAUGAGUGCUAGGUGUUGGGGGGUUCCACCCUCAGUGCUGAAGUUAACACAUUAAGCACUCCGCCUGGGGAGUACGACCGCAAGGUUGAAACUCAAAGGAAUUGACGGGGGCCCGCACAAGCAGUGGAGCAUGUGGUUUAAUUCGAAGCAACGCGAAGAACCUUA
Molecule: ribosomal RNA, 942 nt
Filed under: uncultured prokaryote
Description: bacterial SSU rRNA
Rfam family: Bacterial small subunit ribosomal RNA
Source: RNAcentral